AUUGAACGCUGGCGGCAGGCCUAACACAUGCAAGUCGAACGAGUGGCGGACGGGUGAGUAAUGUCUGGGAAACUGCCCGAUGGAGGGGGAUAACUACGGGAAACGGUAGCUAAUACCGCAUACCAUCGGAUGUGCCCAGAUGGGAUUAGCUAGUAGGUGGGGUAACGGCUCACCAGGGCGACGAUCCCUAGCUGGUCUGAGAGGAAGACCGGCCCCACUGGAACUGAGACACGUUCCAGACUCCUACGGUAGGCAGCAGUGGGGAAUAUUGCACAAUGGGCGCAAGCCUGAUGCAGCCAUGCCGCGUGUAUGAAGAAGGCCUUCGGGUUGUAAAGUACUUUCAGCGAGGAGGCGUUACUCGCAGAAGAAGCACCGGCUAACUCCGUGCCAGCCGCCGCGGUAAUAG
This 406-nucleotide ribosomal RNA is filed under the name uncultured bacterium. RNAcentral describes it as "partial 16S ribosomal RNA". It matches the Rfam family "Bacterial small subunit ribosomal RNA", at positions 30 to 526 of the family's 1533-position model. The record is from RNAcentral.